UACGAAGGGGGCUAGCGUUGCUCGGAAUCACUGGGCGUAAAGCGCACGUAGGCGGCUUUCUAAGUCAGAGGUGAAAUCCUGGAGCUCAACUCCAGAACUGCCUUUGAUACUGGAGAGCUUGAGUUCGGGAGAGGUGAGUGGAACUGCGAGUGUAGAGGUGAAAUUCGUAGAUAUUCGCAAGAACACCAGUGGCGAAGGCGGCUCACUGGCCCGAUACUGACGCUGAGGUGCGAAAGCGUGGGGAGCAAACAGG
Molecule: ribosomal RNA, 253 nt
Filed under: uncultured bacterium
Lineage: Bacteria
Description: partial 16S ribosomal RNA
Rfam family: Bacterial small subunit ribosomal RNA
Source: RNAcentral